UAAAGGUUUAGUUGAGUUGAGUAGAUACAAUUGAAAAAUCAACAAAGCCCUUGACUCAUAAAAUUGAAAAACACCUUAACAAAAUUAAGCCAAUUACUAUCCAGUGCAAUUAAACAUGAAGUAAGAGUACACUAAUUCAACUAAACUCUGAAUGUUCACCUGCAGUGCUUAGAGCAUAGUUUUAUGAUGUUAUUUAAGUUUCCUAAUUCACAUGCAAUUUGUGUCCUCCAUCACCCUCGCAAAAUGGCUAUGUAGACAUUGAAUUGAAGUAUUCUUCAACAUUCAAUUUGUAUAUGAAAAACUAAAAUUAAAAUCUUUCUUCUUCAUCUCACUUCCAACUCAACAAUCAUGUAUGUAUAUUUGUCUAUUUGGCAAGGUAAUUUUUAUAGCCUGUCCCUAAAUUUUGUCUCGUGUUUCAUUUUCGUCCCCGAACUUCAAUUUAUUAUAAUAAAAUCACUCAACUUUA
RNAcentral lists this unclassified non-coding RNA (466 nucleotides) under Hevea brasiliensis (rubber tree). Lineage: Eukaryota; Viridiplantae; Streptophyta; Magnoliopsida; Malpighiales; Euphorbiaceae. The record is from RNAcentral.